GAUGAACGCUGGCGGCGUGCCUAAUACAUGCAAGUCGAGCGAAAAGAUGAGGAGCUUGCUCCUCUGACGUUAACGGCGGAAGGGUGAGUAACACGUGGAUAACCUACCUAUAAGACUGGGAUAACUUCGGGAAACCGGAGCUAAUAACGGAUAAUAUAUUGAAUCGCAUGGUUCAAUAGUGAAAGACGGUUUUGCUGUCACUUAUAGAUGGAUCCGCGCCGCAUUAGCUCGUUGGUAAGGUAACGGCUUACCAAGGAAACGAGGCGUAGCAGACCUGAGAGGGUGGUCGGCCACACUGGAACUGAGACACGGUCCAGACGCCUACGGGAGGCACCAGUAGGGAAUCGUCCGCAAUGGGCGAAAGACUGACGGAGCAACGCCGCGUGAGUGAUGAAGGUCUUCGGAGCGUAAGACUCUGUUAUUAGGGAAGAACAAAUGUGUAAGUAGCUAUGCACGUCUUGACGGUACCUAAUCAGAAAGCCACGGCUAACUACGUG
Molecule: ribosomal RNA, 497 nt
Filed under: uncultured bacterium
Lineage: Bacteria
Description: partial 16S ribosomal RNA
Rfam family: Bacterial small subunit ribosomal RNA
Source: RNAcentral